UACGUACAAUCGAAUUCGAAACGCUGACGGUGCAGGACCCGGAGGAAGCGGCUCACGAAACCAGAUCGAGUUAACUUUGUUUCGGACGACACAUCUGCCUCCGGAGAAGAAAAUUCCGUUGUGCGUGUCGAGCGAACACCGCUUACGACGUCCUUGGAUUCGCACAACCUCUUUUCGGCUCCCCGUUUGCUCGAUAUAUCGGGAUCAAAAUAGAUGGGUUUCGGGUGUUCUGCACCGCAGGAGCGAAAACGAACUUCGUCGGAGGCUCUUCUGACUUAGGAACGUAACGAGCUCAAGGCUGUGAGUGCGCAACCGAACUUUCAGGCAGCCUGCGCGUUCCUCCGUUCGGGUAUAAUCCUUGCUAAUUUGCAUCGCCCUGAUAAUGUUUUUCUCAUUUAUCCAGGCGAUAUUAUUAUAAUAACCGGCUUUACGCUGCCAGCUACCGCGCCGUAUAUUUGAUUACGGUAUCAGCUAAUCAAGGGUAACGAUUUCCUACUCGACGGAUUUCUGUAUUCGAACUCUCCGGUGU
This 529-nucleotide unclassified non-coding RNA is filed under the name Athalia rosae (coleseed sawfly). RNAcentral describes it as "misc RNA ENSAEAG00005005886.1". The record is from RNAcentral. Lineage: Eukaryota; Metazoa; Arthropoda; Insecta; Hymenoptera; Athaliidae.